This is a long non-coding RNA of Malaclemys terrapin pileata, 469 nucleotides long. RefSeq lists it as uncharacterized. The record is from RefSeq and is a predicted model, not a curated record. Lineage: Eukaryota; Metazoa; Chordata; Testudines; Emydidae. The transcript is spliced from 2 exons.
GGCUUCAGGUUGCCCACCACUGGUCUAUCUUCAAGUUCCACGCAUUGGAUUUUAUUAUACUUUUGUCUGCCAGACUGAAGAGCCCAUUAUCAACUUUCUGGUCCCCAUACAUGUACCUGUCGGACAAUCAAAGGAGUUGCUCCGUUCCUAUGGACCCCAAAUCAGAAUUCAACAUAUAUAUUUUAUACUAAUAACAUUUUAUCAAAGUAUUAAUUAAAUGUUAACUUGCUAACUUGAGGCCAUGGGCGGAGACAUUAUGUAACCUUUUAACCAUUGGCUAUUGUGCCAUCUUGUCUUGCUGCAAAACCUAUCCCGGGGUGUGGAACUGCCUACCCCGUCACCUUCCCCUGCCCAUGGAAAAUCUAUAUAUUUCAUUGUAAUCAAUUGCUUGACAGUGUCUCUGAGCCUGAUAAACCAGGUGACACUCCGCCAGCUCUGUGUGUAAUAAACCCCUAGGCUUUGACCUCUA